Molecule: ribosomal RNA, 496 nt
Filed under: uncultured bacterium
Lineage: Bacteria
Description: partial 16S ribosomal RNA
Rfam family: Bacterial small subunit ribosomal RNA
Source: RNAcentral
GAUGAACGCUGGCGGCGUGCCUAAUACAUGCAAGUCGAGCGAACGGACGAGAAGCUUGCUUCUCUGAUGUUAGCGGCGGACGGGUGAGUAACACGUGGAUAACCUACCUAUAAGACUGGGAUAACUUCGGGAAACCGGAGCUAAUACCGGAUAAUAUUUUGAACCGCAUGGUUCAAAAGUGAAAGACGGUCUUGCUGUCACUUAUAGAUGGAUCCGCGCUGCAUUAGCUAGUUGGUAAGGUAACGGCUUACCAAGGCAACGAUGCAUAGCCGACCUGAGAGGUGGAUCGGCCACACUGGAACUGAGACACGGUCAAGACUCCUACGGGAGGCAGCAGUAGGGAAUCUUCCGCAAUGGGCGAAAGCCUGACGGAGCAACGCCGCGUGAGUGAUGAAGGUCUUCGGAUCGUAAAACUCUGUUAUUAGGGAAGAACAUAUGUGUAAGUAACUGUGCACAUCUUGACGGUACCUAAUCAGAAAGCCACGGCUAACUACGU